CCAUAGGCUAGUGCAACUGCUGUAGUUUCAUUCAUUAGCUUCAGACAAUUUAAUCCUGCAAUCUGAGCAGCUGCCAUUACAGACCUUCUCUCCGCGUCAGUGAAAAAACUUGGUACUGAAAUAACACAGUCUGCCACUGGUUUCUUCAGAGCACUUUCUGAAGUCUCUUUAAGUUUGGCCAGUAACAUUCCUGUAAUUUGUUCCACUGCAAACAGUCUCUCUUCAUCCAGGUACCUCACCUUUACUCCUACAGAGCCAUUCGGCAUCUUCUGAAGUUCGUAGGGAAGUUUGGCCCUUUCAGCUUGUAUGUAAGAAUCCUCAAAUGCUCUUCCAUGCAGCUUUUUGAAGCCAUGCAAUGUAUUUUUUACAUUUGUAACAAUCUGGCUCUUUGCUGCAUUCCCAAUGGCCCGUGUCUUGGAUCCUAGAGAUAUACAUGCUGGGGUGCAGCGGUCGCUGUACUCGUUGGCGAUGGUCUCGAUGCCGCCGGCCCGCGCCACGCCGAUGUAGCAGUUCAGGAAGCCGAGGUCGAUGCCGACCACAGACAUGACUGCGCUGGGUGCUCCCCGCCGGCCUGCGACCGCUGCGCUGCUGGGACCGGCCGCCGCCGCCUCUUCCCCACUGCGGAGCACCAGCCACCAACCGGCGGCUGCUCGCCUCUGCGCAGGCGCGCUGUGCCGGCCGGCGGGCAGUCCGCCGGGCGCCGGCUCCGGCUUCGGCAGUUUCCGGAAGGGCUCGGGCCGCGCGGGCGGCGGGCGCCGCGCAUUCCAGAAAGAUCUGGAAACGGCGGGAGGCGGUGUCACCAGAGCGCCGCCCCGCGCCGCGCGUCAGUACUGCGGCGGGGCCCGGCCCGCCCCCUUAAGGGGGCCGCGCGCUCUCCCUCGCUCCCUCAGCGGCAUUCGUCCGUGCUUCCCUCAGGGGGCUUUGCCUUCUCGGAGAGAAGGGGCGCAAGACCUGCUUACCCUCGCUGCAGGAUCAGGAUUCCCUGUAAUUAAUUCCCUGAGUGCUGAGCUCUGUGUCCCAGUAAGAAUCCAUCCAUGUUAAGGAACUUUUCUCUUGAAGCAAAGAAAUUUGCAAGGUAAGACAGCAGUGCUCAAAAGUAUAAUUUGCGUUUUGAGCCAUAACUUAAAAUUGUUUCUUUCUUUUUCGUGUUCCAUUUGUACAAAACUAGACUCCUCAAAAUGUUUCAACUAUUCAUAAAUGUUUCCAGCUUU
This 1211-nucleotide long non-coding RNA is filed under the name Gallus gallus (chicken). The record is from RNAcentral. Lineage: Eukaryota; Metazoa; Chordata; Aves; Galliformes; Phasianidae.